UUAUCAUUUGGAGUUCUCCUCAAAUCACUUCACUCGCUAGCUUCUGCCUGAUUGUUGCAUUGGCACUAUUUCAAAAGUGCGCUUUGCAUGGAUAGGAGUAUGCAUAGUGAAGUGUUUGGGGGAACUCUGGGUGGCUA
RNAcentral lists this microRNA precursor (137 nucleotides) under Triticum aestivum (bread wheat). Its description in RNAcentral is "mir-395 microRNA precursor family". It matches the Rfam family "mir-395 microRNA precursor family". From Rfam's summary of the family: mir-395 was identified in both Arabidopsis thaliana and Oryza sativa computationally and was later experimentally verified. mir-395 is thought to target mRNAs coding for ATP sulphurylases. The mature sequence is excised from the 3' arm of the hairpin. Lineage: Eukaryota; Viridiplantae; Streptophyta; Magnoliopsida; Poales; Poaceae. The record is from Rfam by way of RNAcentral.